RNAcentral lists this ribosomal RNA (2278 nucleotides) under Brassica napus (rape). RNAcentral describes it as "eukaryotic LSU rRNA". The stretch from base 433 to 2278 matches the Rfam family "Eukaryotic large subunit ribosomal RNA". The record is from RNAcentral. Lineage: Eukaryota; Viridiplantae; Streptophyta; Magnoliopsida; Brassicales; Brassicaceae.
AACGUCCUGUUUGUGCUGACGGACACUGACGGACACACACGGACACACACAGACAGCCACGGCGUCCUGUGUGUGCUGGCGGACACCCACGGACGUCCUGUUUGUACUGGAAGAGAAACGUCGAUACAACACUUGUCCAUGCAUUCUUGUAUAUCCUUUGAUGCUAUCUCCCGAAGACCGUAGCAAACUCAGUUCAUGUUUUCCGCCAAUCUAAAUCGUCGAUCAAACUUUGUGGUUAAAACCGCGGAAAGUUCGUUCUUUAUUGAAAGAAGUCUCAGUAAACGCUUUGAAUCGGAAGACGGCCCAAAGGGAACUAAGACACGACUCAAGGCCCAUCCUACGAUUUCUUAACCAAAAGCCCGUAAACCAUAGCACGGUUUACGCUUGGCGCGCAAGGAAGGAUAAAUAUCAAGUUUCCACGGAUAAAUACGAAAUUUUGAGGAUAAAUACGAAGAUCGGAGAAAAUGGAAUAUCUCCAUUUUAUGCUAUGAUGGCUUAAGGGCAGAAGAGUAAAAGCGUAAACCGACCUUGGAGCGAGUAUAUAAGGAGUCCUAGGCGAGAGGCAUAAAAGGGAGAACUUUUCCGAGCAAACAUAGCACUUAGAGCAAUUUAGGCAUAUUUCCGUUUUUGUUAUUCGAGCUGCGACUGAAUUAGGUUAUUGCCGUCUUAAGGUUUUAAAACUAGGAAUCUCGCCAACAGCUCUCGUAGCCCAAGCACUUACCUUGUUGUAACGCUCAAACGCAAAUUCGGAAUAAGAUCUACUGCGAUUUCUUAUAAUUUAUUGUCGUUAUUCUCGUGUUCUGAUUGCUUGACGUGUGGUAUUAGCAGAUAUCCGGGACCUCUGGGAAAUUAGGGUAUUCUUAGUUUCCUUAUUUUAACAGAAAUCGACAGUGCAAAUUUCGGUUCCCACACUCAUAACCGCAUCAGGUCUCCAAGGUGAACAUCCUCUGGUCGAUGGAACAAUGUAGGCAAGGGAAGUCGGCAAAAUGGAUCUGUAACUUCGGGAAAAGGAUUGGCUCUGAGGGCUGGGCUCGGGGGUUCCAGUUCCUAACCCGUUGAUUGUUGGCGGGCUGCUUGAGCUGCUAACGUGGCGAGAGCGGACUGCCUCGUGUCGGCCAGGGGACGGACUGGGAACGACUCUUUCGGAAUCUUUCCCCGGGCGUCGAACAGCCAACUCAGAACUGGUACGGACAAGGGGAAUCCGACUGUUUAACUAAAACAAAGCAUUGCGAUGGUCCCUACGGAUGCUAACGCAAUGUGAUUUCUGCCGAGUGCUCUGAAUGUCAAAGUGAAGAAAUUCAACCAAGCACGGGUAAAUGGCGAGAGUAACUAUGACUCUCUUAAGGUAGCCAAAUGCCUCGUCAUCUAAUUAGUGAUACGCAUGAAUGGAUUAACGAGAUUCCCACUGUCCCUGUCUACUAUCCAGCGAAACCACAGCCAAGGGAACGGGCUUGGCAGAAUCAGCGGGGAAAGAAGACCCUGUAGAGCUUGACUCUAGUCCGACUUUGUGAAAUGACUUGAGAGGUGUAGAAUAACUGGGAGCUCCGGCGCAAGUGAAAUACCACUACUUUUAACGUUAUUUUACUUACUCCGUGAAUCGGAGGCGGGGUAAAAGCUAAACGAGAACAUAAAUCUCGUGUGGAACAAAAGGGUAAAAGCUCGUUUGAUUCUGAUUUUCAGUACGAAUACAAACCGUGAAAGCGUGGCCUAUCGAUCCUUUAGACCUUUUGAAUGGGGCAGCCAAGCGUUCAUAGCGACGGUUCUUUUUGAGCUUUCGAUGUCGGCUCUUCGUAUCAUUGUGAAGCAGAAUUCACCAAGUGUUGGAUUGUUCACCCACCAAUAGGGAACGUGAGCUGGGUUUAGACCAUCACGAGACAUGUUAGUUUUACCCUACUGAUGCCCGCCUCGCAAUAGUAAUUCAACCUAGCACGAGAGGAACCGUUGAUUCGCACAAUUGGUCAUCGCGCUUGGUUGAAAAGCCAGUGGCGCGAAGCUACCGUGCGCUGGAUUAUGACUGAACUCCUCUAAGUCAGAAUCUGGGCUAGAAGUGACGCAUGCACCCGCCGCCCAAUUGCCGACCAUCAGUAGGAGCUUCGGCUCCCAAAGGCACGUGUCGUUGGCUAAGUCUGUUUGGCGGAAGCGCCGUUCGGACCGCCUUGAAUUAUAAUUACCACCGAGCGGCAGGUAGAAUCCUUUGCAGAUGACUUAAAUACGCGACGGGGUAUUGUAAGUGGCUGAGUGGCCUUGCUGCCACGAUCCACUGAGAUUCUCCCUUUGU